RNAcentral lists this long non-coding RNA (1049 nucleotides) under Cyanistes caeruleus (blue tit). Its description in RNAcentral is "lncRNA (ENSCCEG00000019387.1)". The record is from RNAcentral. Lineage: Eukaryota; Metazoa; Chordata; Aves; Passeriformes; Paridae.
AACAAGUGAAAGGCUGGAAAAGUAAAUAAAACACGGCAGAUUCUGUCAUUUCUAUUUGGAUGGAACUUCAACACAUGUGGUAUCUUCAUCAAACAUUUGGUGACUGACAUAACAAAUAAAGAAAAUGUGAUGGAAGCUGUAAGAAAACCGAAGGUGUAUGAAAGCUUUGAAGCUCUGCAGCAGAGGCAAAACCUUUUUUUUGGAGGACUGUGAGUUGUAACAGAAGAACUGAUAUUUUCAGAGAUGAUGAAGACUUGAACAUGGAGCCUUUUCAAACAUGGUAGGCCCUCAUAGAUUCUUCACCUAACUAAAUCUCAGGGAUUUGUUUCAUCCACACAUAAGGCAAGCAAACAAAUCUUCUGUUUUAGGUGUCAGGCAAAAGAGCACACAGGUGCGCAGACAGUGAUUUUCAAAUUCCAUGGUCUUUGGAGAGAUGUGUGGCUACAAAAGGCAUUUAGACCUUAAUAGGCAAUUUGUAAAAUGAGCAUUAGCCAUAAAUAAUAACAAUUUCAAGACUCCUCAGUUUUAUAUUGAGCAUUGUCCUUUAGACUCUUCUGACAACUGACAGAAGUGUAAUUAACUCCAUUCACUGAUUUAUCAUUUUGGCCCAGCUUUUGCCCAUAAAAACCUUGUGUGUAGUAAUCAUGCAACAGUCAGAGAGUCAUCCACUUUAACAGAGGCGUGAUUAGUGUGAUUGACACAAAUCUUAUGUAAAUGGUUUCCUUAUACAUCUGGUAUUUUUGGAUGCAAAUAGCCUGUCAUCUUACCAAACUUUCUGACAAUGUUACUGAUCUUAAAUUUUAAGAGAAUACAGAGGAGUAUAUAAAUGUUGCCCAUGGGAUAUACAGCACAGAAAAGAAGCAUAUUCUGUUCCAUGACAAAUGCAGACCUAAUGAUCACAUGUGUUAUGUGAAGUCUCCUUGAUAAAUUUUGCCCUGUUUGGGAUGUAGAUUAAAUAGAUCCUUUCAAUUGUGUGAAAUGCUACUUUUAAUUAUAUAAAUUUGGAAAAAAUAAGAAAUAAUAAUAAACCCAGAACACUUUGUUACCCA